This 78-nucleotide transfer RNA is filed under the name Candidatus Heimdallarchaeota archaeon. RNAcentral's name for it is "tRNA-Asp". It matches the Rfam family "tRNA". From Rfam's summary of the family: Transfer RNA (tRNA) molecules are approximately 80 nucleotides in length. Their secondary structure includes four short double-helical elements and three loops (D, anti-codon, and T loops). RNAcentral also lists the same sequence under 3 other names. The record is from RNAcentral. Lineage: Archaea; Promethearchaeati; Candidatus Heimdallarchaeota.
GCCCCGGUGGUGUAGUCUGGUCUAGCAUUGAUGGCUGUCACCCAUCCGACUCGGGUUCAAAUCCCGACCGGGGCGCCA